Rhagoletis zephyria (snowberry fruit fly) is the source of this 361-nucleotide long non-coding RNA. RefSeq lists it as uncharacterized. Lineage: Eukaryota; Metazoa; Arthropoda; Insecta; Diptera; Tephritidae. The record is from RefSeq and is a predicted model, not a curated record.
AUGAGGUACUAGAAGUGCAGAAUGAGAUGAAGGACGAGCGACUCGCUGAUGCUGAGGGUCCUUCAAGUAAAUCUUCAAUACAAUAAAUUUGCUUCGAACGAGCUCCUCAUAACGGUGGAUGAGGAGUCGUUCGACGUGGGCUUGGGCCAAGAGCUUCGACUUGCGGCUGGCGGACUUAAUUCAGCGAAGUUCUGCUCAUACUAUAUGAAGUUAGAGGGCAGGCACAGAGGCCUUGGUGGAAGUGUCUACCGAACGGGAGAAAUAGGUCACAGAUUUCUGCUACAUGGCGCACAAUAUUGAAGCUCCACCGACCGAGUUGAGGACCCUGGUUGAAGACUUUAAGCGCAGACGACAACAAAUA